RNAcentral lists this unclassified non-coding RNA (214 nucleotides) under Hevea brasiliensis (rubber tree). The record is from RNAcentral. Lineage: Eukaryota; Viridiplantae; Streptophyta; Magnoliopsida; Malpighiales; Euphorbiaceae.
AAAGGAAAAGAAAAAGGGGAAACCAGAUGGUUUUAUACAUGAAAUUGAACAUACUAACCUUGACAGACAAGUCUGCAAAUUCCAUUGCUAGCUAGCAGAUGCAAAACCAAGUAUUGAAAGCAGCCUCCAUGAAUAUACAUCUUCAGUUUUCAGACCCUUCUUUUUUCUCAUGUCAAUGAAUUAAUGAGAAGAAAGAUCUCAUCUCCAUCAUACC